Long non-coding RNA from Octopus sinensis (East Asian common octopus), 239 nucleotides. RefSeq lists it as uncharacterized. NCBI's taxonomy places the organism in Eukaryota, Metazoa, Mollusca, Cephalopoda, Octopoda, Octopodidae. The record is from RefSeq and is a predicted model, not a curated record. The transcript is spliced from 3 exons.
UAUGUGUUGUAACAAAGGACCACUGAUGAGGUCACAGGAGUGUGACGAAAGAACUCUGGCCGAAAUAAGAUUAAGAUUAAUGUAAAAAAUUAAUAACGCUGAAGCAACGUAACACCAAACAUAUAGUGCGUGCGUUUUUAUUGGCUAAACUGGCAAAAUGACCAUUCUUAAAUACAACUAUAUAUAUAUAUGUAUUUACACAUACACACACACACACACACACACGCGCACACACUCAA